GGAGAGAGCGCGUAGAGGUGGAGGCUGGCGGUUGGGUGGCGCGGAUCCCGAGGUCAGGGAGGGAGAUGCCAAAAAUGGCAAGGUAGGGGGCUUAAAUAGGAAGGGGGCCAGCUUUAGGGUUUUCAAGGGUGAUCUCAACCGCGCGAUCGCAAUCGAACGACUUCGGUUGUGGGGAUUGGCUAGGUGGGCUGUGUUAGAUGGGAUAGGUAGGGAUGAAAGGGAGAUUUAGCAGCCCGUGACAAAUUUUGUAAAACCGUAAAAUGUUCGACGAAUAAACCGAUGACGAUGCCACUACGGUCGACCGUUCGGGUAUCAAACAGACUCCGAUUGCGACGAAAUUUGGCAGGCGGCCUACCUACACUAUAAUAAGACCGCACACUAAGUUUCAACCCAAUCAGAGAAAGUUGUAUACACACUUUUAAAAACA
RNAcentral lists this long non-coding RNA (427 nucleotides) under Hordeum vulgare. Its description in RNAcentral is "long non-coding RNA (HVUL_LNC003772)". Lineage: Eukaryota; Viridiplantae; Streptophyta; Magnoliopsida; Poales; Poaceae. The record is from RNAcentral.